UACGAAGGGGGCAAGCGUUGUUCGGAAUUACUGGGCGUAAAGGGCGCGUAGGCGGUGCGUUAAGUCAGAUGUGAAAGCCCUGGGCUCAACCCGGGAACUGCAUUUGAUACUGGCGCGCUCGAAUCCGGGAGAGGUUGGUGGAAUUCCCAGUGUAGAGGUGAAAUUCGUAGAGAUUGGGAAGAACACCGGUGGCGAAGGCGGCCAACUGGACCGGUAUUGACGCUGAGGCGCGAAAGCGUGGGGAG
This 245-nucleotide ribosomal RNA is filed under the name uncultured Azospirillum sp. RNAcentral's name for it is "partial 16S ribosomal RNA". It matches the Rfam family "Bacterial small subunit ribosomal RNA", at positions 524 to 768 of the family's 1533-position model. Lineage: Bacteria; Pseudomonadati; Pseudomonadota; Alphaproteobacteria; Rhodospirillales; Azospirillaceae. The record is from RNAcentral.